RNAcentral lists this ribosomal RNA (447 nucleotides) under uncultured bacterium. RNAcentral describes it as "SSU rRNA". It matches the Rfam family "Bacterial small subunit ribosomal RNA", at positions 26 to 518 of the family's 1533-position model. The record is from RNAcentral.
AGAGUGAACGCUGGCGGCAGGCCUAACACAUGCAAGUCGAGCGCGUGUAGCAAUACACGAGCGGCAGACGGGAGAGUAACACGUGGGAACGCGCCCUUCGGUUCGGAAUAACUCAGGGAAACUUGAGCUAAUACCGGAUACGCCCUUACGGGGAAAGAUUUAUCGCCGAGAGAUUGGCCCGCGUCUGAUUAGCUAGUUGGUAGGGUAAUGGCCUACCAAGGCGACGAUCAGUAGCUGGUCUGAGAGGAUGAUCAGCCACAUUGGGACUGAGACACGGCCCAAACUCCUACGGGAGGCAGCAGUGGGGAAUAUUGGACAAUGGGGGCAACCCUGAUCCAGCCAUGCCGCGUGAGUGAUGAAGGCCCUAGGGUUGUAAAGCUCUUUUGUGCGGGAAGAUAAUGACGGUACCGCAAGAAUAAGCCCGGCUAACUUCGUGCUAGCAGCCGC